AAUUCUUUUAUCAAGAUCCUUUAGAAAAUAAGCUUCAUGAGGGGAAGCGAUCAUUACUUAGUAUGUAAUGCAUUGAUGCCUAGAAUGAAAUCAGCCUCCAAGACAACCUCAGAAAAGGCUUUGUUCAAAAUGACAGAGGCAUUGUCUGUCGGAUUCCUUUAAUUAUUUCAUGGAGGAGGAAAACCUACUGAACUGUUUACCAUAUAAAGCAAGACUAG
RNAcentral lists this long non-coding RNA (218 nucleotides) under Mustela putorius furo (domestic ferret). RNAcentral's name for it is "lncRNA (ENSMPUG00000024394.1)". Lineage: Eukaryota; Metazoa; Chordata; Mammalia; Carnivora; Mustelidae. The record is from RNAcentral.